RNAcentral lists this unclassified non-coding RNA (386 nucleotides) under fungal sp. RNAcentral describes it as "partial internal transcribed spacer region". The stretch from base 1 to 46 matches the Rfam family "Eukaryotic small subunit ribosomal RNA", at positions 1786 to 1831 of the family's 1831-position model. Lineage: Eukaryota; Fungi. The record is from RNAcentral.
AAGUCGUAACAAGGUUUCCGUAGGUGAACCUGCGGAAGGAUCAUUAACACGUAUCCAACGUUAAACCCCCCGUGCACACAGCUUCGGUCUUUUGGCAAUCCCUGGUAAAUCAAGGGCCGGGGUAGGGUAUUUCAGUAGUAGUCAAUGCAAAGCAACCUGGUUUCUUUGAAGCAGAAAGUGUGAUGGCGUGAGCCGGAGAACGGACCGAGUGGUAGUUCAAAGGUGCCUUCUGUCGCGCACUGUGGAAAGGAAGCCAACACUGUCAGUGACCGGGUUCCUGGUCCUAGACCCCAUAUUCACCACCACAGUCGCAGACGAGGUAGGGAUACGUCCCUACCACCAAAUAAAUACUUGAACAACUGUUAACAAUGGAUAUCUUGGUUCUC